This 3464-nucleotide long non-coding RNA is filed under the name Callithrix jacchus (white-tufted-ear marmoset). Its description in RNAcentral is "lncRNA (ENSCJAG00000086375.1)". Lineage: Eukaryota; Metazoa; Chordata; Mammalia; Primates; Cebidae. The record is from RNAcentral.
CCCUUACUCAGGCAACAUGGGGCUUGCUUCUAGCACAGAGGAAGCAGGUUUAGGGACGAAGUAACCAGGGUAGCUUAGCCACAGAGGAACGGACCAGCUGACCUCUUGACUUGACUUAUGAUGAAGGGGCCCUUCUUAAGUCACCUUAUACUUAGAGUCAAAUCCUGGACUAGAAUUCUUCCCAACCCCCUGGGGUCACUCAGGCUGGAAUGCAGUGGCGCGAUCAUAGCUCACCUCCAGCAGCAUCAUCCUCCUGGCAACCCUCUCUCCUCAGCCUCCCGAGUAGCUGGGACUACAGCCCUGUGGAACGAAGCCUGUAAACAGCCCAUUUUCACUCCUGAAGCAGUUGGUCCCCCACGAAAAGAUGAUUUCCUCCGAAGCAGAUGAAAAUCCCCUUUUCCUCCCCUGGCUCCUGCAGCCUGUGGUCAUGAAGGCAAAGGAAUCAGCCCUUCCUCUGCCACUUCCCAGCUGUGUGGUCCUGUGCAAAUGUCUUAGCUUCUCUGAGCCUCUGUUUCUUUUCUGUAGAGUGAAGAUAAUUCAUUAUUUGUGAGAUUAUUUGAGGAUUAAAUAAUACUGUAUGUGGAAGGGCUGAACACAGUGCCUGGCACAAAGUUAGGUGCAAUAAAAGAGAAUCCCCUUUUUCCAGGCUCCACCAAGCAUAGCACUGAAUUAAGAACUCUUCUGUGGAUUGAUCUCACAUGAUCCCACAUGCCCAUUACCUGUGUGUGUCCCUGUGUGCAUGUACAUGUACAUCGUACCUGUGGAUAUGUGCCUGCUAUGUUUGUGUGCACCUGAGUGUGGGUAUGUGUAAACAGACACAUGCAUAUGUCUGUGCACAUGAUUGUGUGUGUGCGUGUGUUUUCCCAGCACCAUUAGUAGGAAGCUGUAAUUAUGUUUUAUGGCAGCAGCAGCAGCAACAGCAGUGGCAGUGGCAGCUCUGUUCCCCCAGCCAUUAAGCUGCCUCCCUCCACUCAUCUGGGGGUGGGGAGCUGGAGCCACUGCCCGCCCUCCCCAUCCCUGCAUGCUGCAUGAGCACCCAGCCACCCCACUCCCUCACCAUAUGCCUGUCUUUUACUGUUCUUUGGUGCGUGGUGCUCAUCGAGUGGCUAAUUAGCUAAAUGAAUUAAUUGACAUCCAUACAUGUAAUUAGCAAAUGGUUAUAAGCAGCUAUUCUCCUUGGGAUGUCUAAAAUUCUAAGGGUCAGAUGCUGGGAGGGUUGCUUUAGUGAGUAAAUAAGAGAUAAGAGCUGCCAGGGUAAGUGCCUGGGAGGCUCUGUGAACUUGAUGGCCUAGCUGUGGGGGGAUGAGACCCAGGAAGGAGGGAGGAGGUGCUUACCAGCCUGAUGGGGGAAACUGACUCCAUGCACCAGGAAUCAGGAGCCUCAGCUUCUGGCUCCAUUUAUGCAACUUUCUCUGUGACCCUGAGUAAAUAAAUCCCUUCUCCUCUCUGGGUCACAGUCUCUGCUUCUGAUGGGGAUGGAUGGGACCAGCUCCUCUCAGGACUCUCCCUGCUCUGAUAUCCUUCCUUGCCUUAAGCCAAAGUUUCUAAUAAGAAACAGGGCUGUGUAGAGAUUGGAUGAAGUGCCCCUUUCUUUAUUCCAGGGUGCACCAUUACUAUGCUCUCCCACUUGUAGGUUUUGGUACCUGCUGUGCCCCUGCUCCUAAUGCCUGGUCUACCCUCUCUGCCUCUAAGAUCCUGUAGAGCAGUGCUGUCCAGUAGAAUGUUCUGAAUGACGGAAAUGUUCUAUGUCCCUGCGGUCCCAUGUGAUAGCCAUGAGCCACAUGUAGCUGUUGGGUCCUUGAAAUAUGACUAGCGCAACUGAGGGGCUGAAUUUUUAAUUUAUUUAUACUUAGUUCAUUUAAAUUUAAAUAGCCACAUGUGGCUAUUGGCUAUUGUAUUGGGCAGUGCAGCUGGAGCUCCUUCAAGAUCCAUUCAUUCAUUCAUUUACUAAUUCAUUCAUUCAUCCAACAAAUAUUUUUUUAGUAUCUGCUGUGGCCAGGCACUGGGGAGACUAUUGAGAAUAAGCAGGCAUGACCCUUGCCCUCAUGAAGCAUUUGUUAUGGGGAGGGAUAAGAGAGAGGAGAGAGAACGAGAACCAGACAAAAUAAUUGGAAAUUUAAUAAAAGCUAGGAAAGAAAAUGAUAAGGGGCUGAGAUGGAGAAUAGAAAUCCUGGGGCAGUAGAUGGGGUGGUCAGGAAAGGUGUCUCUGAGGAGGAGCCAUUUAAGCUGGGACCCCGGGGGUGAGAAGGAGCCCUCCGAGGAGAGUGUGUGUGUUUGUGUGUGGGGGUGCAGGGGCUGUUCUAGGCAGAGGGCUCAGCCGUGCUGAGGUGGAGGCAGGGGAGAACUGGGUGGGUCUGAGGAAAUCAGUGGGGUUGAAGUGUAAUGAGUGUGGGGCAAGGCCAGGAGACGAGGGGCAGGGGCCAGAUGAAAGACCAUGGGAAGGACUACGGAUUUUGUUGUAAGGGCAGCAGAGGUUGCUAAAGGGUUCUAGACAGGAACACCUCUUCAGAAGUUGACCUGGCGGCUUCCUAGGGCUUGGUUGGAGGAAGCCCUAAAUGAGGGUGGGUGAUGGUCAUCUAGGGAAGGGGAACUGGCCAGGGUGGUACAAGAUGCCACUGCAGGGGUCAGGCAUGGUGGCUCAGCACUUUGGGAGGCCGAGGUGGGCGGAUCACUUGACGUCAGGAGUUUGACCUGGCUUACAUGGUGAAACCCUGUCUCUACAAAAAAUAAAAAAAAAAAAAAAAAAAAAAAAAAGCUGGGCAUGGUGGCACACGCCUAUAAUCCCAGCUACUCCAGAGGCUGGGUUGCAGUGAGCUGAGAUUGUGCCACUGCACUCCAAUCUGGGUGACAGAGAACAAGACUCUGUCUCAAAAAAACAAAAAACAAAAACAAAAAACAAACAAAGGCCAGGCACGGUGGCUCACGCCUGUAAUCCCAGCACUUUGGGAGGCUGAGGAGGGCGGAUCAUCUGAGGUCAGGAGUUUGAGAUCAGCCUGGCCAAUGUGAUGAAAUCCUGUCUCUACUAAAAAUACAAAAAUUAGCCGGGCGUGGUGGUACACACCUGUAAUCCCAAUUACUCGGGAGGCUGAGGUGGGAGAAUCACUUAAACUAGGGAGGUGGAGGUUGCAGUGAGCCAAGAUCGUGCCACUGCUCUCCAGCCUGGGUGACAGAGCAAGACUCUGUCUCAAAAAAAAAAAAAAAAAAAGCCAAAAAACAAAAAACAGAAAAGCUUUGUUGGAUUUGUUUAAAAAAAAGAAAAAAAAGAUACCACAACACCUCCACCCGGAAGGUGUCCCUGGAUUCCCUGGGCUGGAUCAGGCUCCUCUCUGUGCUCCUGCCACCCCCAGGCCUGACUGUGUCAUGGCACUUUUGCCCCUAGCUGUCACCAUCUGUUAAGGUCAGAACCACCAGAUGUGGGCCUUCCCCGACGUGGCUAUGUCCAAUUCUGUGUCUCCCCCUUUCUC